Molecule: transfer RNA, 71 nt
Organism: Orientia tsutsugamushi
Lineage: Bacteria; Pseudomonadati; Pseudomonadota; Alphaproteobacteria; Rickettsiales; Rickettsiaceae
Rfam family: tRNA
About the family: Transfer RNA (tRNA) molecules are approximately 80 nucleotides in length. Their secondary structure includes four short double-helical elements and three loops (D, anti-codon, and T loops).
Source: Rfam
GCGGGUGUAGCUCAAUGGUAGAGCCUCAGCCUUCCAAGCUGGUUACGUGGGUUCGAUUCCCAUCAUCCGCU